Molecule: ribosomal RNA, 2901 nt
Filed under: Escherichia coli
Lineage: Bacteria; Pseudomonadati; Pseudomonadota; Gammaproteobacteria; Enterobacterales; Enterobacteriaceae
Description: bacterial LSU rRNA
Rfam family: Bacterial large subunit ribosomal RNA
Source: RNAcentral
UUAAGCGACUAAGCGUACACGGUGGAUGCCCUGGCAGUCAGAGGCGAUGAAGGACGUGCUAAUCUGCGAUAAGCGUCGGUAAGGUGAUAUGAACCGUUAUAACCGGCGAUUUCCGAAUGGGGAAACCCAGUGUGAUUCGUCACACUAUCAUUAACUGAAUCCAUAGGUUAAUGAGGCGAACCGGGGGAACUGAAACAUCUAAGUACCCCGAGGAAAAGAAAUCAACCGAGAUUCCCCCAGUAGCGGCGAGCGAACGGGGAGCAGCCCAGAGCCUGAAUCAGUGUGUGUGUUAGUGGAAGCGUCUGGAAAGGCGCGCGAUACAGGGUGACAGCCCCGUACACAAAAAUGCACAUACUGUGAGCUCGAUGAGUAGGGCGGGACACGUGGUAUCCUGUCUGAAUAUGGGGGGACCAUCCUCCAAGGCUAAAUACUCCUGACUGACCGAUAGUGAACCAGUACCGUGAGGGAAAGGCGAAAAGAACCCCGGCGAGGGGAGUGAAAAAGAACCUGAAACCGUGUACGUACAAGCAGUGGGAGCCUCUUUAUGGGGUGACUGCGUACCUUUUGUAUAAUGGGUCAGCGACUUAUAUUCUGUAGCAAGGUUAACCGAAUAGGGGAGCCGAAGGGAAACCGAGUCUUAACUGGGCGUUAAGUUGCAGGGUAUAGACCCGAAACCCGGUGAUCUAGCCAUGGGCAGGUUGAAGGUUGGGUAACACUAACUGGAGGACCGAACCGACUAAUGUUGAAAAAUUAGCGGAUGACUUGUGGCUGGGGGUGAAAGGCCAAUCAAACCGGGAGAUAGCUGGUUCUCCCCGAAAGCUAUUUAGGUAGCGCCUCGUGAAUUCAUCUCCGGGGGUAGAGCACUGUUUCGGCAAGGGGGUCAUCCCGACUUACCAACCCGAUGCAAACUGCGAAUACCGGAGAAUGUUAUCACGGGAGACACACGGCGGGUGCUAACGUCCGUCGUGAAGAGGGAAACAACCCAGACCGCCAGCUAAGGUCCCAAAGUCAUGGUUAAGUGGGAAACGAUGUGGGAAGGCCCAGACAGCCAGGAUGUUGGCUUAGAAGCAGCCAUCAUUUAAAGAAAGCGUAAUAGCUCACUGGUCGAGUCGGCCUGCGCGGAAGAUGUAACGGGGCUAAACCAUGCACCGAAGCUGCGGCAGCGACACUAUGUGUUGUUGGGUAGGGGAGCGUUCUGUAAGCCUGUGAAGGUGUACUGUGAGGUAUGCUGGAGGUAUCAGAAGUGCGAAUGCUGACAUAAGUAACGAUAAAGCGGGUGAAAAGCCCGCUCGCCGGAAGACCAAGGGUUCCUGUCCAACGUUAAUCGGGGCAGGGUGAGUCGACCCCUAAGGCGAGGCCGAAAGGCGUAGUCGAUGGGAAACAGGUUAAUAUUCCUGUACUUGGUGUUACUGCGAAGGGGGGACGGAGAAGGCUAUGUUGGCCGGGCGACGGUUGUCCCGGUUUAAGCGUGUAGGCUGGUUUUCCAGGCAAAUCCGGAAAAUCAAGGCUGAGGCGUGAUGACGAGGCACUACGGUGCUGAAGCAACAAAUGCCCUGCUUCCAGGAAAAGCCUCUAAGCAUCAGGUAACAUCAAAUCGUACCCCAAACCGACACAGGUGGUCAGGUAGAGAAUACCAAGGCGCUUGAGAGAACUCGGGUGAAGGAACUAGGCAAAAUGGUGCCGUAACUUCGGGAGAAGGCACGCUGAUAUGUAGGUGAAGUCCCUCGCGGAUGGAGCUGAAAUCAGUCGAAGAUACCAGCUGGCUGCAACUGUUUAUUAAAAACACAGCACUGUGCAAACACGAAAGUGGACGUAUACGGUGUGACGCCUGCCCGGUGCCGGAAGGUUAAUUGAUGGGGUUAGCGGUAACGCGAAGCUCUUGAUCGAAGCCCCGGUAAACGGCGGCCGUAACUAUAACGGUCCUAAGGUAGCGAAAUUCCUUGUCGGGUAAGUUCCGACCUGCACGAAUGGCGUAAUGAUGGCCAGGCUGUCUCCACCCGAGACUCAGUGAAAUUGAACUCGCUGUGAAGAUGCAGUGUACCCGCGGCAAGACGGAAAGACCCCGUGAACCUUUACUAUAGCUUGACACUGAACAUUGAGCCUUGAUGUGUAGGAUAGGUGGGAGGCUUUGAAGUGUGGACGCCAGUCUGCAUGGAGCCGGCCUUGAAAUACCACCCUUUAAUGUUUGAUGUUCUAACGUUGGCCCCUGAUCGGGGUUGCGGACAGUGUCUGGUGGGUAGUUUGACUGGGGCGGUCUCCUCCUAAAGAGUAACGGAGGAGCACGAAGGUUGGCUAAUCCUGGUCGGACAUCAGGAGGUUAGUGCAAUGGCAUAAGCCAGCUUGACUGCGAGCGUGACGGCGCGAGCAGGUGCGAAAGCAGGUCAUAGUGAUCCGGUGGUUCUGAAUGGAAGGGCCAUCGCUCAACGGAUAAAAGGUACUCCGGGGAUAACAGGCUGAUACCGCCCAAGAGUUCAUAUCGACGGCGGUGUUUGGCACCUCGAUGUCGGCUCAUCACAUCCUGGGGCUGAAGUAGGUCCCAAGGGUAUGGCUGUUCGCCAUUUAAAGUGGUACGCGAGCUGGGUUUAGAACGUCGUGAGACAGUUCGGUCCCUAUCUGCCGUGGGCGCUGGAGAACUGAGGGGGGCUGCUCCUAGUACGAGAGGACCGGAGUGGACGCAUCACUGGUGUUCGGGUUGUCAUGCCAAUGGCACUGCCCGGUAGCUAAAUGCGGAAGAGAUAAGUGCUGAAAGCAUCUAAGCACGAAACUUGCCCCGAGAUGAGUUCUCCCUGACUCCUUGAGAGUCCUGAAGGAACGUUGAAGACGACGACGUUGAUAGGCCGGGUGUGUAAGCGCAGCGAUGCGUUGAGCUAACCGGUACUAAUGAACCGUGAGGCUUAACCU